AGGUGCGAUCAUACCAGCUACUAAUGCACCGGAUCCACAUCAGAACUCCGCAGUUAAUCGUGCUUGGGCGAGAGUAGUUCUAGGAUGGGUGACCUCCUGGGAAGUCCUCGUGUUGCACCCC
This 121-nucleotide ribosomal RNA is filed under the name Gossypium raimondii (Peruvian cotton). The record is from RNAcentral. Lineage: Eukaryota; Viridiplantae; Streptophyta; Magnoliopsida; Malvales; Malvaceae.